RNAcentral lists this ribosomal RNA (802 nucleotides) under uncultured Flavobacteriales bacterium. Its description in RNAcentral is "bacterial SSU rRNA". It matches the Rfam family "Bacterial small subunit ribosomal RNA", at positions 72 to 874 of the family's 1533-position model. The record is from RNAcentral. Lineage: Bacteria; Pseudomonadati; Bacteroidota; Flavobacteriia; Flavobacteriales.
GGGGGUAGCAAUACCUGCCGGCGACCGGCAAACGGGUGCGGAACACGUACACAACUUUCCUUUAAGUGGGGGAUAGCCCAGAGAAAUUUGGAUUAAUACCCCGUAACAUUAUGAGAUGGCAUCAUUUUAUAAUUAAAGCUCCGGCGCUUAAAGAUGGGUGUGCGGCUGAUUAGGUAGUUGGCGGGGUAACGGCCCACCAAGCCUGCGAUCAGUAACUGGUGUGAGAGCACGACCAGUCACACGGGCACUGAGACACGGGCCCGACUCCUACGGGAGGCAGCAGUAAGGAAUAUUGGUCAAUGGACGCAAGUCUGAACCAGCCAUGCCGCGUGAAGGAUGAAGGUCCUCUGGAUUGUAAACUUCUUUUAUUUGGGAAGAAACCCAUUUUUUCUAGAGUGGUUGACGGUACCAGAUGAAUAAGCACCGGCUAACUCCGUGCCAGCAGCCGCGGUAAUACGGAGGGUGCAAGCGUUAUCCGGAUUCACUGGGUUUAAAGGGUGCGUAGGUGGGCAGGUAAGUCAGUGGUGAAAUCUCCGGGCUUAACCCGGAAACUGCCAUUGAUACUAUCUGUCUUGAAUACCGUGGAGGUGAGCGGAAUAUGUCAUGUAGCGGUGAAAUGCUUAGAUAUGACAUAGAACACCAAUUGCGAAGGCAGCUCACUACGCGAAUAUUGACACUGAGGCACGAAAGCGUGGGGAUCAAACAGGAUUAGAUACCCUGGUAGUCCACGCCCUAAACGAUGGAUACUCGACAUACGCGAUACACAGUGUGUGUCUGAGCGAAAGCAUUAAGUAUCCCACCU